Molecule: long non-coding RNA, 1693 nt
Filed under: Homo sapiens (human)
Lineage: Eukaryota; Metazoa; Chordata; Mammalia; Primates; Hominidae
Description: HSALNT0379880
Source: RNAcentral
ACACGCCCAGAUGAUGUCACAAUCAGCUGUAUCUAAACAGAGCAGAGCUCAGGUGACAUCACAGAACAGGCAGAGGCAGUUCAGGGGUAUUCUGGUUGCCUUACCCAGCUCUGAAGUCUGUCAGCCUCUUCAGAUGUCACUUGCCAUGUGGUAAGGAAGUGUAGUCAGCAGCUGGUGCAGUGGGAAGAAGAGAAAGGAAGUUCCCCAAGACAAAAACAUCUCGGCAGACCGUGAUCAUGGGCUACAUUCUCCGUACCAGCUUCAUAGCUCCAGUGAGAAAAUAAAUUCCUGCAUCCAGGAGAUGUGGAGUAAGAGAUACAGCUGCCCUUGACCAUAUUUCUUACUUCCGAGAAGAUCGUAGCAGUAAUUCAGGUUAUUGGGGAACAGGUGGUUUGGGUUACAUGAAAUCUCAUCCAGGAUACCUCAUCACAGGCUGGAGUGCAGUGUCAUGAGCUUGGCUCACUACAGCCUCCAUCUUCUGUGCUUAAGGAUCCUUCCCUCUCAACCUCCAAGGUAGCUGAGACUACAGGCAACAUUCGAAACCCAGGUGCCACUCCUUCAGGAAGGUACCAUCAAGCUCCAAGGACUCAUCCUCUUUCUCCUUCCCCACUACCUAGUCAUUAGAGCGUCAGCAUCCACUUCCUGAAAGGAAGAUGCCUGUUUUUCACAUAUCCCAGAAAGCCUCAUUUUAGGACAGCAUUUAGCAGAGUGUAUUCAGGAUCCCACUAACCUUUUCGGAAGACAUGACUUCCAGAUGAUAUAAGGCAAGAAUAAGAAAUUUCAGUGACAGGGAACAGAAAUCAUAUUUCUGCAUUCAGGAUCAUGUUUUCUUGGCUCCAUCAGGAACUGUGCAGGACUGUGCACUCUGUUGAUACUCACAUGGUGGAAUUAUAUUGCCCUUGGCCAACCCUAAAGCCAUCAAGAUAGCAGGUUUGGAAUAAUUCACUGUCGAAGUCUUCUUGAGCUGAGCAGUCAUGUGAGCUUGGAAGAUGAUCCCUCUCCAGCUGAUCCUUCAGCUCAGGCCAUCAUCUACAUCUGGAUUCCUGACCCGGAGAAACUAUGAGUAAUGUGUGCUGCUUUUGAGCCACUAAGCUACAUGAAUUAAUGAAGGAUCAUUAUUAAGUUUUUAAUGGGUCAAGAGAAAGUUACCACUGAGGUCUUCUCUACCUGGGCAACAAUUGACUCCUAACAACCACUAUAAGCUUGGAAGAUGAUCCCUCCCCAGCUGAUCCUUCAGGAAUUUCCACUGAAGUACCUCUGGUUGAAAAGGAGAACAGAGACUUUUUUCACAGCCACAGGACAAAAUUUGUUCAGAAUUAAAUGCUGAAAAAGGAGGCUGGAGUGCCGUGGCACAAUUAUGGUUCACCAGCCUCAACCUCCUGGGAUCAAGCAAUCGUCUCACCUCAGCCUCCUGAGUAGCUGGACUGCAGGUACCCACAAGUAGGGUUGACCACAGUAACAAGUAAGCAAGCAAAACAUUUUGUGAAAACCGUGAAGCAUCUUCCUCUGCAGUGACUUAUCAAAAGGGCCCUUUAGCCUAUCUACUGUGGUGUUCUAAAAGGAAGAAAGAGGCUAGUAAAUCCUGGAUACUUUGCUCCUACACCAAUAUUCCCAGCUGUACCUUGAAAUAAAAGGAUUUAGAACUUUAGAACAUUGCUGUUGUUGCUUAUGUCUCUAAUGUUCUCUUGAAUCU